UUGCACAUCAUCGCUCGUGACCUAACGCCCAACUGCUGCACCCAUGCCUCUUCCCUUGGCCAGAUCAAUUCCAGCAUUGGGCAGAUGGAGUAAAUAAAGAUAGCUUCAAAGAUCUUGGACAUUCUCCUCUAGGCUCAUCUACAAGCAGGAAUCCAAGGUCUAGUCACAUUGAAUGAGUUUCUCAGACAGAGGAUUUGUUGCAGCAGUAUUGAGACAAACCAGGAGAAGAAAAAAGGAAGAAAGUUUAUGCAAUGUUAGAGUUGCUUUCAUUUAUCCCAUAUGCCAUGACAAUUCUAUUGUCCUUCAGAGAUGAAAGUAAAUGAACUUUGUGGAAUAUGA
Molecule: long non-coding RNA, 339 nt
Organism: Numida meleagris (helmeted guineafowl)
Lineage: Eukaryota; Metazoa; Chordata; Aves; Galliformes; Numididae
Exons: 2
Source: RefSeq, a predicted model, not a curated record